This 253-nucleotide ribosomal RNA is filed under the name uncultured bacterium. RNAcentral's name for it is "partial 16S ribosomal RNA". It matches the Rfam family "Bacterial small subunit ribosomal RNA", at positions 524 to 776 of the family's 1533-position model. The record is from RNAcentral.
UACGUAGGGAGCAAGCGUUGUCCGGAAUCAUUGGGCGUAAAGCGCGCGUAGGUGGCCUCAUAAGUCCGCUGUGAAAGCCAAAGGCUCAACCUUUGAAAGCCGGUGGAUACUGUGGGGCUAGAGUGCGGAAGAGGCGAGUGGAAUUCCCGGUGUAGCGGUGAAAUGCGCAGAUAUCGGGAGGAACACCAAUUGCGAAGGCAGCUCGCUGGGACGUGACUGACGCUGAGACGCGAAAGCGUGGGGAGCGAACAGG